AGUGAACGCUGGCGGUAGGCCUAACACAUGCAAGUCGAACGGCAGCACAGUAAGAGCUUGCUCUUACGGGUGGCGAGUGGCGGACGGGUGAGGAAUACAUCGGAAUCUACUUUUUCGUGGGGGAUAACGUAGGGAAACUUACGCUAAUACCGCAUACGACCUACGGGUGAAAGCAGGGGAUCUUCGGACCUUGCGCGAUUGAAUGAGCCGAUGUCGGAUUAGCUAGUUGGCGGGGUAAAGGCCCACCAAGGCGACGAUCCGUAGCUGGUCUGAGAGGAUGAUCAGCCACACUGGAACUGAGACACGGUCCAGACUCCUACGGGAGGCAGCAGUGGGGAAUAUUGGACAAUGGGCGCAAGCCUGAUCCAGCCAUACCGCGUGGGUGAAGAAGGCCUUCGGGUUGUAAAGCCCUUUUGUUGGGAAAGAAAAGCAGCAGGUUAAUACCCCGCUGUUCCGACGGCACCCAAAGAAUAAGCACCGGCUAACUUCGUG
Molecule: ribosomal RNA, 492 nt
Filed under: uncultured bacterium
Lineage: Bacteria
Description: partial 16S ribosomal RNA
Rfam family: Bacterial small subunit ribosomal RNA
Source: RNAcentral